This 525-nucleotide ribosomal RNA is filed under the name uncultured bacterium. Its description in RNAcentral is "bacterial SSU rRNA". It matches the Rfam family "Bacterial small subunit ribosomal RNA", at positions 111 to 652 of the family's 1533-position model. The record is from RNAcentral.
UAACGCGUGAGUAACCUGCCCUGGAGUGGGGGACAACAGUUGGAAGCGACUGCUAAUACCGCAUAAGCCCACGGCCCGGCAUCGGGCUGAGGGAAAAGGAUUUAUUCGCUUCAGGAUGGACUCGCGUCCAAUUAGCUAGUUGGUGAGGUAACGGCCCACCAAGGCGACGAUUGGUAGCCGGACUGAGAGGUUGAACGGCCACAUUGGGACUGAGACACGGCCCAGACUCCUACGGGAGGCAGCAGUGGGGGAUAUUGCACAAUGGGGGAAACCCUGAUGCAGCGACGCCGCGUGGAGGAAGAAGGUUUUCGGAUUGUAAACUCCUGUCGUUAGGGACGAUAAUGACGGUACCUAACAAGAAAGCACCGGCUAACUACGUGCCAGCAGCCGCGGUAAAACGUAGGGUGCAAGCGUUGUCCGGAAUUACUGGGUGUAAAGGGAGCGCAGGCGGACCGGCAAGUUGGAAGUGAAAACUAUGGGCUCAACCCAUAAAUUGCUUUCAAAACUGCUGGCCUUGAGUAGUGC